GGGGGGGGAGGGAAAUGUCACCCGAGGUGGGUGAGGGACAGGACGGACCGACCGACGGGCGGAUGGACGGACGGAGCGGCCCGCCGGCUUGUCAAGGCUCUCUUAAAAAGGAGAAAAGGAAAAGCGGUGGAAAAAAAUCAAAAAGCUGAGCCCCCCCCCCCCCCCUCCUCCCCCGGACCCGCACGCUGUUGUUGUUGCCGCCGCGGCUCGGGGAGGAUUUUCGAAAGUGAGCGAAGCUGAGGAGCUGCUGCCUUCCCCACCGGCUCUGAAAAUCUUCCCCUCACGUAUCCUGGUCCUGCACAGCCCUACUGGACUCCUUGCAGCCGAGUGUCAGCAGGCCUGAGCUUCCCCGGGAUCCCACCGCCUGCUUCCAGAGCUGCAUCCAUGAAAAUAUCAGCAAAUUUCGUAGGGAGAGCCAAUCUCUCUCUCUCUCCCCCUCUCUUUUUUUUUUUUUUUUUAACCAACUGACACAGUUGGAGAGAACAGCAAGCUUUUGGGCUCACAGAGCUUAGACCAUCAUGGCUACGAAAACUAAACUGCUAGUCAGAAAAAAAACACGUAAUUCUGGAACUCCUUAGUGAAAAAGCAGUGCAAAACAACGUCAGAGCAGUUGCCAAGUGAUCUUCUCCGCAGCACCCACAAACUUCAGCCUUGAACUGAAGAGGACUCAUCAAAUGCCUUGGGAGAUACAGAAUGGAACUGGAAGAGAAGCAGGGGUCUACACGAAGGGCAGUCCACUGGAGUCUUGGUGUGUGGAGGAACGGGUCCUGUUCUCGCUGUUGUUACUCCCACAUAGGUGGACUCUGUAACUGAUUAUGUGUGGGUAGGGCCCUAUUGAAAUUAAGGAGAUUCUGCAAUAGUGCAGGGUUCUGUUUGUGAAAGUUCAGUUGCAAGAUCAGGACCCUACUGUGACUUCUUACUGUGAAUUCUGUCACUGUAUCAUUGCUUGUGCUGGAACCUGCCUUUUGGGAUAAUGUAAGUCCUGCUUUUCCCCCAAAUGUACUUUAGACAUGAAAUAAUCAUGAAAACGUUCCUAAUUAGAAAAUAAAUAUCAUUUACAUGCAUUCUUUUAAUUAUGUUUUUUUGGCAGUACCAAAUAAUAUAUUCCUCAAAACUUCUUAAUGGCACUGAGGCUUUGUGGAUAGUUGGUCACAUGAUGAGAAAAUUCAGCUAUCAUGGGCAAGGAGAAAACAUUUUACCUAUUCACGCAAGCAAUGCUAUGACCCUGCUUACACUCCUUAAUCGUCUGGACAGGAAGCUUGGCUUCUGGUUCAACCACAUGCUCUUCAGGUCGACUUUGCCUGUAGCACUGAGUGUAUGGUUUUUAUGACUAGCGUCAAACUUGAAGCUUUCAAAGCCAUGUGUCAAAGAUGGGAGAACUGGAGGAACAGGGAUGUGAAGUUGUCUGCUCAGAGCUAUAUAAGAGGCCAGUGACAAAUCCAGGAAUGGAAGCCAAGUUGCAGUCUAAUAUGCUAAUCAAUGAGGAAUUUUGCCUUCUGAUACUGCAAUGAGAUAAUGCAUCCAGGUCCUGGCUAAGAAAAUGGGGUUUUCCAUCAGGAACGUUGCGGUCUGAUGUUCAAAACUUGUCGUGCGUCUAGUAAAAGAUGAACCCCCAAGGCAUGGCUGCAGUGGCUGUGUGAAACAAGAAACAGAUACCCUUUUUGUGUCACUCGUUUCACUGAUCACCAGGACUCUGAACCAGGGUGAAGGUGGAGGAAGACUCCUACAGAGAACCAGGAACGGUUUGUCCUUUUAGAAGGGAGUAAUGGCAUUUUUAAAGUUUUUACCAAAUACCAGGACAUGUGAUAAAAUUUUAUGGUUGAGAAUUAAUCAAAAGACCAUGAAAUGGGAUAGAAUGCACAUUACAGAAAGCCUUGGAGAGCUACAACCUAAGCACCCUGAAAUCUGUGACCAAGUCCACAGGACACCUCUUGAGUUAUUGCAACCACCUCCAAUGACUGCUAUUUUUUAUAUAAUUUACCAGCCCCAGUAAACUCCCCCAGACAGACUGGGAAAAGAUAUUCCUUCUAUUAAUUUUAGUCCAGAGGAAGACUCCAGAUGUAUUCUGGGUAGUGAAAUAUUUGGUUCAUGGAAUUAACUACAGAACUCAGAUCUGAAAAAAAACAAGCAGUGUAAAUUUGCACCUUGGAGGUGGUACAUGUUUUGAAAAGGAUGGUUCCAAAGAUAAUGUGCCUGUAUCUAAACUCUGUUACCUGCAACAUACAGAUUUACAGUUUUAUCUGUAUUAAAUAACACAUCUGUGUGCUGAAACAUGAAAUGUAUAAUUAAAAUAAUGACUAUAACUAUAGACCUAUGUAAAUAUUUUCUAGAUCAUAUGUGUAAAUAUUAAAGAAAUUGUUUAAUUUCUAGGGAUUACAGACAGCACUUUAAAAUUUUACACAGUCCCCCCAUCAUGAGUUUUUUAUAUAAUUACCAGUUAAGAGCUAAUCCAUCUGUUUGCUUUUUAAAAUAUUUGCAGUUGUGUUAAAUUUUACUGAGGAGCAAUUUAGUUUUCUUGUUGUUUGAACAAGAAGUCCCCGAGUAUUUGUCCCAAAUACCAAUAUUUUCACUCUGCUGGCAGCUGUAUAUUUGUGGUCACCCUUUGGCAAUGUAUGUGAAGAAUGCAUACAGUGGCAGUGCCUCUUCAGGAGAGUACCAGGAGGAAAAUUGUAUGUGGUCAACCCACACGUAAUUUGUUCUCCUUAGUGGAGGUCUUACAUGUACAGCACUUAAAUGACACUUUUUGUUUCUGGAUAAGAUGAAGGUAACUGAUAGAAACCAUUCAAAAGCCUCUUGGGCUGUUGCUUACGUUCCCUGAAAUGGGCUAAAGAGAACAGCUCUUUGGAGACACAGCUUUACAUUGAACAUAUGCAGGGCUGUGUCAUUAUUAAUUCUGCAAAUGUGUUUACAAUGGUUAGGUAAAAUAUUUAGUUACUAUUUAAAUAUUUUGAUGUAUUAUAGCUCAUACCCGAAUUUCAGAUGUCUACUGCACUUAACAUUUCCAAUUUAAAUAACCGGUUUCAUUAAGGUUUUUAGUGAUACAAAUUAAUAACAAAAGGCAGUUAAUGCAGAGUACAGUUAUGAAACCAACAUACAUGUGGUUUAAAUUUAAAGAAUUAAAUGUUAGCAUUUCCCUAUAGAGAAAGGUUAUUUGGGCAAUGGUGUACUGACAUUAUCACCACCCACGGAGAAGGGGACCUGUUGAUCCUAUUGGUUAAGCAGAAAUUCAAAAACGGAAGAAAUGUCGGUCUAGAGGGUUUGCUUGGUGUGAGUGAAUCACACAGGAAAAAUGCUGAUACCUAGAGUAGCUGCAGUGACCUUCUUUGAUGGUUAGAAAGAGAAAUAAUCACACAGGAUUUUUUGUCAAAGUUAGAAGGUUUAGGUUGCUUGCUGGCUAAAAUCGGCCUUGGUUAUUCAUAUAGUGGAAAGUUAAAUGAUGAGCAUAGAAAUAUGAUAAUAAGUGCUGUUGUAAAUGAGACAGAAAUGAUUUUCUGUGGCUGGUAAGAAUGGUAAUCCAAUGUGUUAACCAUUGGGCUGGAGGGCUGCUAAGAAAAUAAACGUGCAAAGUGGGUAAAAUAAAGGAUAAAAGUAUGUAUAUGUAGGCAUUUCUUCAAAGCUUCUUCAGUAAGGUGUUUCUGGACGCUCUGCUGUACUGCUUUGGACAAGUCAUGUCUAUUAAAAUAAAAGUAAGCAAACAGCUUUUGUUUUAACAAUAAAUACCGCUAACUGUACCUCU
Long non-coding RNA from Cygnus atratus (black swan), 3736 nucleotides. RefSeq lists it as uncharacterized. The transcript is spliced from 10 exons. Lineage: Eukaryota; Metazoa; Chordata; Aves; Anseriformes; Anatidae. The record is from RefSeq and is a predicted model, not a curated record.